RNAcentral lists this ribosomal RNA (253 nucleotides) under uncultured bacterium. RNAcentral describes it as "partial 16S ribosomal RNA". It matches the Rfam family "Bacterial small subunit ribosomal RNA", at positions 524 to 776 of the family's 1533-position model. The record is from RNAcentral.
UACAGAGAGUGCGAACGUUGUUCGGAAUUACUGGGCUUAAAGCGCACGUAGGCGGUGUCGUAAGUGUCAGGUGAAAUCCCACGGCUCACCCGUGGAACUGCCUGGCAGACUGCGAUACUCGAGUGUGGUAGGGGAGAGCGGAACUCCUGGUGGAGCGGUGAAAUGCGUAGAUAUCAGGAGGAACACCGGUGGCGAAGGCGGCUCUCUGGUCCACAACUGACGCUGAGGUGCGAAAGCUAGGGGAGCAAACGGG